Molecule: long non-coding RNA, 923 nt
Filed under: Elaeis guineensis (African oil palm)
Lineage: Eukaryota; Viridiplantae; Streptophyta; Magnoliopsida; Arecales; Arecaceae
Description: long non-coding RNA (EGUI_LNC072624)
Source: RNAcentral
AUAUUGACACAGCACUUUGGGGUUGGAUACAUAUAUCCAAGUAAAAUUGGUUCUAUAAGGAUAAAUAUUUGUCAUGAGGUGCUGUCAUUUGACUUUGGGCUUAGCCAAUCAUGGCAGAGUAGGCUGGUUGCUUUUUAGAGAGAGUGCAUUGUCCCGGGGUCUCAUGUUGGAGUUACAAUGCUUUGGAGUGAUCAUAGAGUUACGCUCUUUGUGAGUCUUGUAAGUUUUUUAAACUAAUAAAACUCUUAUUGUCUCUCUCUCCAAUUUUACUCUUUUGCAUAUAUAUUCCAUAUACAUUGGUACUUGUUCAUAUUGAUCCUGUGCAUUGGAUGAUCCUCCUAUGUAGUGAUUGUUGUUGUUCAACAAACAUCUCCAUUAACUAACCAUCUUUUUCUUGGUUUUUGUCUCACCUCAUGGCUUUUUUAGACAAGUCUCUAUUGCUUGAGUCUAGUGCACACAAUGGGAAUUUGACAUUUUCUUUAAUCUUCAUUCUUGAUAUUACUUGUUCACUUUAGACAUUGUGGUUGGGUUAUCCUGAUUCCAAAAUUCCACCAUCUUGCUUCAAAAGCUCGAAGCUGUUUUUUAUGGAGGGCAUCUUCAAUAAACCAGGAGCAUCUUUGUGUUCAAACUUCCCUCUUUCUUAUAAAGUAGCUUUGAAUUUGUGACCAUCAUCAUGUUUAUAUCUCAGUCUUAAACUAGUUAAAUCUGCAAUCCUUCCAUUUUGUUUGAGCAACACCACCUGUUUAAAUGCCCCCAUAUCCUAGUUAUUCGGAGUUUGGACUCUUGUACACUACCCUAUAGAUUUGUUUGUUGUCAGUGGCUUAUCCCUCAGCCCAAACUGCAUGCAUGAUCAUGCCCUUGUACAAGCUGUUCCGAAAGGUAGUGUUUGAAAUCUCGACGCUGAUGCACAGCCACUAGAAGUG